GUCAAAUAGUUUGGUAGUAAAACUUAAUUGCAAGUAGCUUUGCUUGGUUCUUGAGCAACACAUUGGUCAAUUUUUCAUUUCAUUUACCGGUGUCUUUGAAACGCUUUUUAAGUCCUCUUAACAUUUUGAUCCAUUUCCGUACCAAGUUUCAGAUCCGAAGCACUCAUAGUUCAAGAUCCGAUCUUUCCCCAGAUGUAGGCGCCACCUCUGAAAAUUUUGACUUGCACCUGAAUCUGAAAAGUUGCCGUCAUCGGUUUAUAACUAUAGAGCAGCUAUCCAAGAGAUCUGCAGCUGUUGCUUCUGCUGGAUUGGAUUCGGAAUAUAUCUCGGUAUAUACCAAGGGCGCAUCUGCGCAAAGGCAAUCUUGAUUUCACGAGUUAGAUUAUUGAGGCAGGGUUUAUGCCUGAACAGAAGUUAAUGCACUAGUUGUCUUUGCUCCCAAAUGAUCUUAUGUUGGAUUUGGUUGUAAGUGAAGAUAUUAAACAGAUUUGUGUGGGAUAUCUACAUUGUCAUGGAUAUAACUAAAAAUACAGGAGAUGGUACAGAGUGAAUUUUCUUCAGAGGUGGUUGACUUCACCGAGGUCAAUGACGUCAACAAUGGAAGCAUAGGGUCUGGCUUUCGUCGAGAACCUUCAUUUUCAGGAUGGUGUGAUGAUAAUGGAACAGUCCAUUUGGAGCAGCAACUCAGGGAUGAAGAUGUUAGUUUAGAGGAAGACUCGGAUUUUGAGUUGCCUUUUCCUCAAAAGAACGAGCAGCAAAGCAUAUCUUUUGAUAGAGACAGACGCUUUCACCUGAAGUAUCAGCAAAGGAGGAGUAUGCAAAAGAAUUUUACAGGUACCAUGGAUGUGGAUUCAAGUUAUCAGAGCGGUAAUGGAUCUGGAAAGUAUGUGCCUUUUGAUGUUGAAGACAACUCGGAAAGGGGGAUGACUGGUGUUGACUCCUCCGUUCGUGCGGUUGAUACUGGAUCUUUUGUAAAAGGCUCCAAAGAUCCUAUUUCUGCAGCAAAUAUCUUAAAGACAUUGUUUUUUAUACUUGUGUGGUACACUUUCAGUCUAUUUUUGACCUUGUACAAUAAAACUCUUUUAGGAGAUCAUAUGGGAAAGUUCCCAGCUCCCUUUUUGAUGAAUACCAUCCACUUUGCAAUGCAAGCUAUUUUAGCUAAAUCUAUCACCUGGUUUUGGUCUGAGAGAUUUGAAAGCAGUGUUGUUAUGUCUUGGAAUGACUACUUCUGGAGAGUUGUACCAACUGCUAUUGGAACAGCGAUGGAUGUUAACCUGAGCAAUGCAUCUCUAGUUUUCAUCUCUGUCACAUUUGCUACAAUGUGUAAAUCUGCUGCUCCAAUUUUUCUACUUCUGUUUGCGUUUGCUUUCAGGUUGGAGACACCAAGCUUUAAACUAUCAGGCAUCAUCAUGGUAAUCUCCAUUGGGAUACUAUUAACAGUCGCAAAAGAAACAGAGUUUGAAUUAUUUGGAUUCAUACUUGUCAUGCUUGCUGCUGUUAUGUCUGGCUUCCGCUGGUGCAUGACUCAGAUUCUUUUGCAGAAAGAAUCCUAUGGUCUAAAAAAUCCGCUUACCCUGAUGAGCUACGUAGCUCCAGUCAUGGCAAUGCUUACUGCACUUCUUUCGCUUGCAUUAGAUCCAUGGGAUAAAUUCCGAGAAAACCAGUACUUUGAUAAUUCAUGGCACAUAACACGAACUCAUAUUUAUUACGUAAAUUACACUGUCCUGACCUCCCCUGCCAUUUGGUGAAAUUCAACCUGGCUCUCCUCUGUUUCUAGAUCAUACAUUGACUUCCCUUGAAAUUUUGGUAAUAAUAUGUACCAAACGCCUCUAAUGGGAGGUCAACGUAGGUUGAAUUGUACUGAACUCAAGGGAGGUACUAACAGAAUAUGUUUUGGUCUCGGUAACUAGUGCUGUCACAGUCACAAUAGCGGGGGUUGUAAAGGAGGCUGUCACCAUAUUGGUUGCAGUAUUGUACUUUCAUGAUGAAUUUACUUGGUUGAAAGGAUUUGGUCUAUUCAUUAUCAUCGUUGGCGUCAGUUUAUUCAAUUGGUACAAAUACCAGAAGCUUCAGAAGGGGCACACAAGUGAGAAUGGUGUGUCAGAGCAUCUUGCAACAGAUUCUGCUGCCAAAUAUGUUAUUCUUGAGGAGAUGGAUGAACAUGGUGAUGCCAUUUAAGACCUUGAUGCAACAAAGGACCCAGAACCAACCUCAAAUUCUGAAGAACAAAGGGAGCAAAAUUAUCUUUCUGUGACUUGCAUGUUGGCUAGCAAGGUCUCAUAUUUUCAGAUUUCAGAUAGCCAUGAUGUCCCUUGUUGGAAUUUUGAUGUUAAUUUUCGUUUGAGCUUUUAUGAAAUUGAGAAAAAAUUUUCAAGCUAUAGUUGCCAAGAUGGUACCAAUACCAAAUCCAGUCUUUGUUGUAUUCUGGUUGAAUAUGUGAAUAAUCAGAUUUUGGCAUUCUUUGGAGUGUAUAACAUAUAAAUGAGAUCACAACAGAUUGGAAUAGAUGAUUUUUUUUUUCAGGAUUGUAUAGAAAUCAUUUCUCAUCAUGAUGAUGGUUAUUUUGCAUGUAUAAUAACGAUAUAUACUAUAUGCAGUUAAUAAUUUCUUAUCAAC
Molecule: non-coding RNA, 2616 nt
Organism: Arachis ipaensis
Lineage: Eukaryota; Viridiplantae; Streptophyta; Magnoliopsida; Fabales; Fabaceae
Source: RefSeq, a predicted model, not a curated record